RNAcentral lists this ribosomal RNA (305 nucleotides) under uncultured bacterium. RNAcentral describes it as "partial 16S ribosomal RNA". It matches the Rfam family "Bacterial small subunit ribosomal RNA", at positions 505 to 807 of the family's 1533-position model. The record is from RNAcentral.
ACAGCAGUAGCCACGGGAACACGUAGGGUGCAAGCGUUAAUCGGAAUUACUGGGCGUAAAGCGUGCGCAGGCGGUUAUAUAAGACAGAUGUGAAAUCCCCGGGCUCAACCUGGGAACUGCAUUUGUGACUGUAUAGCUAGAGUACGGCAGAGGGGGAUGGAAUUCCGCGUGUAGCAGUGAAAUGCGUAGAUAUGCGGAGGAACACCGAUGGCGAAGGCAAUCCCCUGGGCCUGUACUGACGCUCAUGCACGAAAGCGUGGGGAGCAAACAGGAUUAGAUACCCCCGUAGUCCCUGUCUCUUAUAC